CCGGGCUACCACUUCGUACCAACGGACGAGGAGCUCGUGGACUUCUACCUCCGCGGCAAGAUCGAGGGACGCGACCCGCCUCGCCGCUUCAUCAGUGAGGAGAAUAUCAUGCGUUAUGAUCCCCAAAAGCUGAUUGAGAAAUACAAGGGCUAUGGGGAAGACAGGUGGUACUUUUUCAUGGUGAGGGAGCCGUCGAAGACGAAGAAGAAGGACGAGCCGAACAGGAAGGUGGUGGUGGAUGGGGUGGAGGAGGGAAGCUGGAGCGCGACGGGGAGCGUGGUGCAGAUUCACAGCACCAAGGAGACGAACCGGAAGGCUAUCAUUGGCAGCAAGAGGGUUCUCACUUAUAAAUCUGCUCGUUCCGCUGAGAACGACAUGUGGAGCAUGCAUGAGUAUGUCUUGGCAGGCAAAUCCCAGACCUACGAGAGAGAAGAGAAGGCCCGGGAGGAGCAGAAGAAUGACAACAAACGCAAUAAAAAGGCCGCAAGGAGGAAGAACAUGCAGCAGCAGCCUACUGCUUGCCAGGCACAAGACGAGCAGCAGGAAACAGCACCAACACCUGGAGAAGAAACCAUUGUGGAUCCUGACCAGUUCAUGGAUAUUGCCCAUUCCAUGCAUAUGAUGUUUGGAGGAGUAGAUCAAGAUGCACCACCAUUCAUGCCAACCUUAAUUGCUCCUUGCAACAACGAUGAUGGCAUGCUGCAACUUCAACCACUCCAAUUGCAGAACCCAAACCCUGCAAUGCUGUACAGUAACCAGCUGGAACCAUCGUACAUUGGUGAUCAGUCGAUGUUCACCCCAUGCUGCUGCGAUAGAAACUGUAUUUCUUGUCGUCAGCUACAAUUUUACCAGCAACAGCAAGCAGAGGAUGGCAGUGUUGCAUUUGGAGAGGCUGAUCUAUACCAACAACAUGAUAGGGCAUUGGGAAAUACUGGUGUAUACCCUGACAAUGUUUGGGUGGAUGGUAACAUGGCAGAUUAUGCUCAGCGUCAGAUUUACAAUGAUCAAGAUAAUGGUGGUGUAUUAAUGCAAGGGCCGGAGGAUAGCGCAACUUUCCCUGACAACUUCCUGAUGCUGGACGAAAUGGCGGCAGGUAGCGAUGAUGCGUCAGGCUUUGAUUAUGAGGUUGAUCAAUCCAUGGCAGUCGUCCCACAUGUUGCUGAUCAGACCGUCGAUGAUAUUAUGUCGUCACUGCUUAAUUGA
RNAcentral lists this long non-coding RNA (1203 nucleotides) under Oryza sativa Indica Group (long-grained rice). RNAcentral describes it as "lncRNA OsZS97_11G003120". The record is from RNAcentral. Lineage: Eukaryota; Viridiplantae; Streptophyta; Magnoliopsida; Poales; Poaceae.